This 253-nucleotide ribosomal RNA is filed under the name uncultured bacterium. RNAcentral describes it as "partial 16S ribosomal RNA". It matches the Rfam family "Bacterial small subunit ribosomal RNA", at positions 524 to 776 of the family's 1533-position model. The record is from RNAcentral.
UACGUAGGGUGCGAGCGUUAAUCGGAAUUACUGGGCGUAAAGCGUGCGCAGGCGGUUUUGUAAGCCAGAUGUGAAAUCCCCGGGCUCAACCUGGGAACUGCAUUUGUGACUGCACGGCUCGAGUGCGGCAGAGGGGGAUGGAAUUCCGCGUGUAGCAGUGAAAUGCGUAGAUAUGCGGAGGAACACCGAUGGCGAAGGCAAUCCCCUGGGCCUGCACUGACGCUCAUGCACGAAAGCGUGGGGAGCAAACAGG